Molecule: non-coding RNA, 79 nt
Organism: Steccherinum ochraceum
Lineage: Eukaryota; Fungi; Basidiomycota; Agaricomycetes; Polyporales; Steccherinaceae
Source: the annotation of a GenBank genome assembly
GGCCGGCUAGCUCAGUUGGUUAGAGCGUGGUGUGGUGCUAAUAACGCCAAGGUCGUCGGUUCGACCCCGGCGUUGGCCA